GGUUAAUGCUGUCUGUUUUCUCUUUCUCCCCAAGGGAUUUAACUCGGAAAAAAUUAACCUCUCAGAGUUGCCCAUCACUCUUCACACUGCCACUAGAAUCCACUGUGACUAAUGCUACUAAAAAGAGAGCUGUCAGACCAACUGUGAGGGAGGAAAAGAGAGGGUGA
RNAcentral lists this long non-coding RNA (167 nucleotides) under Ornithorhynchus anatinus (platypus). Its description in RNAcentral is "lncRNA (ENSOANG00000036658.1)". Lineage: Eukaryota; Metazoa; Chordata; Mammalia; Monotremata; Ornithorhynchidae. The record is from RNAcentral.